CGCCGGAGGAGGCGCCGCCGGCCGGCGGCGCGCGGCCCGCCGCCGCAGGUCCGCUCCAGCAGGGCUGGGGGCAGGUUCUCGACCUGCUCCGGCGGC
RNAcentral lists this transfer RNA (96 nucleotides) under Sphaerisporangium rufum. Its description in RNAcentral is "tRNA-Ala". Lineage: Bacteria; Bacillati; Actinomycetota; Actinomycetes; Streptosporangiales; Streptosporangiaceae. The record is from RNAcentral.